UAGCGCUUCCUUUACACUGAAGAGUUCCCCGCGCAAAUCAGGCUGUUCUGA
RNAcentral lists this transfer RNA (51 nucleotides) under Austrofundulus leoni. Its description in RNAcentral is "tRNA-Val". Lineage: Eukaryota; Metazoa; Chordata; Actinopteri; Cyprinodontiformes; Rivulidae. The record is from RNAcentral.